Long non-coding RNA from Zonotrichia leucophrys gambelii, 1896 nucleotides. RefSeq lists it as uncharacterized. The transcript is spliced from 5 exons. The record is from RefSeq and is a predicted model, not a curated record. NCBI's taxonomy places the organism in Eukaryota, Metazoa, Chordata, Aves, Passeriformes, Passerellidae.
GUUCAAUUUUUUUUUCUUUGUAGCACCCACGACUUUUUUGUUUCUCUAAACUGGCAGUAAAUGUAGGGUACUCAGAAAAUAUGUCUCCCUUAGAGUCCCACAAAAACAUUCUGGGUGAAAUCUGAAUUAAGUGCUAUGAGUCUUGAUAAAUUGGAGAAGAGCCCAAGAGAAAUUCAUCAUCCUGAGAUACAAAAGGAUUGAUUGGUUCAUGAAGAGUAAGAGGUAAGUACAAGCCUAACUACCUCUAGCUCACAGACCUGUCCAGUGAAUAGAGCUUUGUAUUUUGAUGGGCUUAUGAUGACUUUGAAAUCAAUUGCUCAUUACAGUAAAAAAAAAAAAAGUUGUUUUGAACAUGACAGCAAAAAUAACUUUAAGCACAACUUAAUAAUAAUAGAUCACCAAUUUUAGUUAAUAAUUUUAUGCAGUACUGUUUGGUGAGUGAAGGCUCGGACGCUCAAUAUGAGAUCAGCAAGCUAUGUUUAUUGCAGAGAGUAUCAGACACUUAUACAGCACAUAAUAAGCUUAUGAAUGUUCUGUAAGCCAAGCGAUCUAUUGGUUAAACUAUACCAUCAACUCUUCCUCAUUCCUUUGGGCCUACAUUCCCUAUUUCCCACGUCUCUCUGUCUACUUGUUAUCAUACCCAGCUAGGCCCAGGGACACGCUAUCUUGCAGGUGCAAAAAAACUCAAACUAGCUGUGUUCGGUACUUUCCCAGCUCCUGGUCGGCUAACAAGCGAAUGUCUACGUGAGCUCUAUCAUGUAGCCAUUUCUCCACACUAUACUAUCAAAGUUUAAAGGUAAAUUAUUAUGUAUUAGGAGAUGGUAUAAAGUGUAUGUUCUAAUGUGUAGGAUAUAUACAAAGAUACAUACUUGAAAGUCCGUAGAGGAAACAAAUUUUUCCGUCUUCUGUUUGACUGUUUGUCAUAUAAUAUUUGGUUUUAUUUCCCAGGGAUCGAUGAAUUUUAACUCUGGAGUCCUCUAUGCUAAGGAUGGUCAGCUUACAGAUGAUUAAAUGUUCAGUAAUGUCAUCUUUCCAUACAAACAGUGCUCCACUCUCCAGAGGAUUAUUGUGAGCAGAUGUGAGCUCUGCUGUCCCUUUGGACUGACAAAGACAGAGGUUUUGUCCCAAGUUCCUUUUGAACCUGUCCUGCACCUGUUACAAGUCCUCAGUCUCCUGCAAUUUUGUGGGUCAGUCACAUGUAAAACAGCACAACUGGCUGGCAUGCUUUGCUUAUGAGGAGAGACAAGAGAAGAAUCCCUCUGCUCACACCAGACCUGCAGCUGCCAAAUCCACCAAAGCACCUGAGGAGCCCCCAGGGACUGAUGGUACAGAAGGGAGGUGAUGGAGGACAGCACAGCAGGCAGCCUGCCCUCCAUCUGGCUGUGAAGAAGGCAGGGCUGGGAACUGUCAGCAACAUCCCAGCAGGUCUGGCUCACGGAGCCACCCUGAGGGCUUCCCCUGCCUUUGGGCAGUCCCAGCUGCUGCAGCUCACUUGACAGAGACUCAUUGUCUAUACUGUGCUUGGCUGCACUGGAGAUGAUGAAGCCGAGGACAGCAAUGGUUGCCUUCACAUCCCCUGACUGCAGAUGGGAAGGAGGGUGAGCUCUGUCACCUUGGGAAGGCAUCUGCAGAUUCACUGCUGCCCAUCUCUGGAGCAUGGCUCCAUCGGGGGAUCGUGGUAAGGACAGCAGUGCUCACCUAACUGUGCACCCGAGGACAGCUUCAGGAUCUUGUCAUACUGUGGGAGAGCAGAGCUUCACAGUAAAUACCAGCUAACAUACUUACUACCAGUGUUAACACUAACAAUUCUUAACCAAAUAUUAAUACUAAUAACACUUACUAUGCAUAUUAUUAAUGCUAGUAGAGGCUGGUAGUGUUCUUAAUUCUGAGGCUUGU